Molecule: long non-coding RNA, 151 nt
Organism: Chelonia mydas (Green sea turtle)
Lineage: Eukaryota; Metazoa; Chordata; Testudines; Cheloniidae
Exons: 3
Source: RefSeq, a predicted model, not a curated record
AUAAAGCAGCUGCACAGUCAACUCAUUUCCAGGGUAUGCGUGAGAGCCAAAAGUAGAACUGGGUUCAAAAAAGAAUUAGCUAAGUUCACGGAGGAUAGGUCCAUCAAUGGCUAUUAGCCAAGAUGGUCAGGGAUGCAACCCCAUGCUCUGG